GGCACGGAUGUGGAGCAUAUAGUUACAAGAUGGUUACAUUGAAUAGUGACUAAGUUAUUGUAACACGUGGAUUUGUUUUGGUCUGAAUUCAAAGUCAUUCCAUUCCAGCACCGGGGUCCAACUGUAUUUGGUUCCAUCCGUCUUCGCAUCAUCUCUGACCAGCUGCUGCCUUGAAGAAAAGCAUUCUGACAGUGUAAGACUGCCAGUGACUGUGGAUGCAGUGGACUGAAAGAAAGUCAAGGAUUCAAAAGCAACAUGAACCGAUCUCCACCGCCCAUAGCUCAGUGUUCCUUCUCGUUCAGGCUCCACUCCAUCAGCUGAAUGAGAGAGAGAGACUCGACUACCUUGGAGCCCGGAGUCAUGAUGUGGAGCUUUGCAU
Long non-coding RNA from Poeciliopsis prolifica (blackstripe livebearer), 379 nucleotides. RefSeq lists it as uncharacterized. The transcript has 3 exons. NCBI's taxonomy places the organism in Eukaryota, Metazoa, Chordata, Actinopteri, Cyprinodontiformes, Poeciliidae. The record is from RefSeq and is a predicted model, not a curated record.